GUCAGACCUCCGAGGAGGGUGUACGUACAUUGUGUUCCUCCCCGUCUUCGUUCCGGAAGACUGAGGCAAAAGAGUGUUUUCGUUGGAAAGGGGAGAAUGGCAUAGAGUUCAACAACACACAGGACAAGGAAGAGUCUCGAGGUAUAAACCGUUGGUGGUGACACUUCAGGAUGCAGCCGGACGAGGAAGGCUUCCCGGCGUCUCCUAUGGGCUCCUCAUUCCCCUCACUCCCCUCGAGGGACGGCGAGAGCGGGGAGAUCCUCGGGGACAAAGUCGUGGCCCUGAGAAGGGCUCCCGAGGAAUCUCCCCGGCGCCUGCGCCUCCGGCCGGGCGUGCCCCGGGAGAGGAACCAGCCCGGCCACUAUUCUCUGCUGAAGCAGCACCAGCAGUUCAGCGGCUUCAGGAUUCGGGACGCCUUGGCUCAGCAGGGAGGACUCAGGCUGAGGAAGGGCAGCAUGACCUACAGCAGGAGGCCUGUGCCUAUGCUGCAGCCUGAGUACCAGAUGUGUGUUCAGAUGGAGGGCGGCGUGCCCGUCCGCCAAACGGCCUUUCCGAAGGUGCCUCGCCAGUGGCACGAAGAGUGGGACCAAGUGCGCUUUCGGCCGCCCUUCCGCGUCCCUCGGGAGAGCCUGCCGGAGUCUCGGCCACCGUCACCGUCAAAUAGACUACGAGUAAAUAUAUGGGAGGAGUUCAUAUAUGGAACAAGUGCUUUGAAAAGGAAGGGACAUUAUGUUAUAAACGAAGGAAAUUCUAUCAUGAACAAAGUCAGGACGUCAUUAGAGCAGUUUUUGCCCAAACAGUUCGCAAAUAUCGUUCUGUGUGUGUUAUAUUUCCUCUUCUACUUCUUAUCCUGUUUUGCAUAUAACAAUUACUUGGAGAUUGCCUUGUAUAUAUUAUUCCACGGCCACCUGAAACUACACGAGUGUGCUUAUGAAAACGACAUUGACUUGAAUUUUACUGGUAGUCUUUUCGAAGGACCCGCAUAUGCUUGGAUAAGGGGGUACUGCCAGCAUUGCAUACACAGGGGCAAUAUAAAAGUUUUUGAUUGCCAAAUGAAGAAAAUGAAAAUGGACAUUAUGGCAACGAAAAAAAUCUAGAAGAGAAUAUGUCUGCUUCGUCAAGUGAAAUUGGCAGCAGGGGAUAGAGUGUUCACUUGUGAUAUGCAACUUCUCUAUCUCACGCGCUCACACGCAAACUCACGCACACACGCAAACUCACGCACACACGCACACGCACACGCACACGCACACACUCACACUCACACUCACACUCACACACUCGCACACGCACGCAAGCACGCACACACACACGCACGCACACCCACACAAAGUGUAAUUACCUCAGGUGUAAAUAAAGUCACUCUCAGACAAAUAGUAAAACUUCCCAGCCAAGAAGUGGUUGCGUUCAUUAUCAAAAUGAAGUGCCACACUCUUGUAGUCUUCUGGUGUGGCAUCUGAGCCUAAGAUGUCUGCAUACAGCUCCAUCUUCCCAUGCGUGCGUGCCAGCUGGAAUGCCUCGUCCGUGCACUUGGAGAGUACCAGGAAUUGAAUGGCUGAACUGUAGUCAUUCAACUUUUGGAAGAAUCUGAGGAAACAAAAAGUCCAUUAAAGUAAAAAGCAUCCUGGAAUUCAUCUCAGCAGCAAUAUUGACACCACGCCUAAUGUCACCACAUCGAAGAGCUGUUCGUGCAAUGCCGGCUUUACACGCUGAAUUGUGUUCUUCUGAUCCACCUGUAUUUACAACUCCCCUUUCGUAGUGUGUCAAUGCUCCUGGGUAGUCACCUCUGCAGUAUGAGCAUGUUUUACAAUACAAUGCAGUCCUUAAAUAGAGAAACUUACGUAAACUCGAGCUGCUGUGCAUACUCCCUUGAGAUGUAAGGGAUCUGGUCUGGAGCCAAUUUCUUAGCCAGAUGAAGGGACUGGUCCCAGUGAAGCAAGUCUCUGCGCAUCUCCAAAGCUGCUACAGGAGUGCUGGAGCUCAGGUACAAUUCCUGCACAAUCAGGUGGU
RNA transcript from Penaeus chinensis, 2007 nucleotides. RefSeq lists it as uncharacterized. The record is from RefSeq and is a predicted model, not a curated record. The transcript is spliced from 5 exons. NCBI's taxonomy places the organism in Eukaryota, Metazoa, Arthropoda, Malacostraca, Decapoda, Penaeidae.